GUAGUCAUAUGCUUGUCUCAAAGAUUAAGCCAUGCAUGUCUAAGUAUAAGCAAUUAUACAGCGAAACUGCGAAUGGCUCAUUAUAUAAGUUAUCGUUUAUUUGAUAGUACCUUACUACUUGGAUAACCGUGGUAAUUCUAGAGCUAAUACAUGCUAAAAAUCCCGACUUCGGAAGGGAUGUAUUUAUUAGAUUAAAAACCAAUGCCCUUCGGGGCUCACUGGUGAUUCAUGAUAACUCCUCGAAUCGCAUGGCCUUGUGCCGGCGAUGGUUCAUUCAAAUUUCUUCCCUAUCAACUUUCGAUGUUUGGGUAUUGGCCAAACAUGGUUGCAACGGGUAACGGAGGGUUAGGGCUCGACCCCGGAGAAGGAGCCUGAGAAACGGCUACUACAUCCAAGGAAGGCAGCAGGCGCGCAAAUUACCCAAUCCCGACACGGGGAGGUAGUGACAAUAAAUACUGAUACAGGGCUCUUUUGGGUCUUGUAAUUGGAAUGAGUACAAUUUAAAUCCCUUAACGAGGAACAAUUGGAGGGCAAGUCUGGUGCCAGCAGCCGCGGUAAUUCCAGCUCCAAUAGCGUAUAUUAAAGUUGUUGUGGUUAAAAAGCUCGUAGUUGAACCUUGGGCC
RNAcentral lists this ribosomal RNA (623 nucleotides) under Fusarium sp. Salicorn ZJN2. RNAcentral describes it as "SSU rRNA". It matches the Rfam family "Eukaryotic small subunit ribosomal RNA", at positions 20 to 647 of the family's 1831-position model. The record is from RNAcentral. Lineage: Eukaryota; Fungi; Ascomycota; Sordariomycetes; Hypocreales; Nectriaceae.